ACGUAGGUCCCGAGCGUUAUCCGGAUUUAUUGGGCGUAAAGCGAGCGCAGGCGGUUAGAUAAGUCUGAAGUUAAAGGCUGUGGCUUAACCAUAGUACGCUUUGGAAACUGUUUAACUUGAGUGCAGAAGGGGAGAGUGGAAUUCCAUGUGUAGCGGUGAAAUGCGUAGAUAUAUGGAGGAACACCGGUGGCGAAAGCGGCUCUCUGGUCUGUAACUGACGCUGAGGCUCGAAAGCGUGGGGAGCAAACAGGAUUAGAUACCCCAGU
Molecule: ribosomal RNA, 266 nt
Filed under: uncultured Streptococcus sp.
Lineage: Bacteria; Bacillati; Bacillota; Bacilli; Lactobacillales; Streptococcaceae
Description: partial 16S ribosomal RNA
Rfam family: Bacterial small subunit ribosomal RNA
Source: RNAcentral